Molecule: ribosomal RNA, 253 nt
Filed under: uncultured bacterium
Lineage: Bacteria
Description: partial 16S ribosomal RNA
Rfam family: Bacterial small subunit ribosomal RNA
Source: RNAcentral
UACGUAGGGGGCUAGCGUUGUCCGGAAUCAUUGGGCGUAAAGAGCGUGUAGGCGGCCCGGUAAGUCCGCUGUGAAAGUCGGGGGCUCAACCCUCGAAUGCCGGUGGAUACUGUCGGGCUAGAGUGCGGAAGAGGCGAGUGGAAUUCCUGGUGUAGCGGUGAAAUGCGCAGAUAUCAGGAGGAACACCGAUUGCGAAGGCAGCUCGCUGGGACGUCACUGACGCUGAGACGCGAAAGCGUGGGGAGCAAACAGG